CCUACGGGUGGCAGCCGUGAGGAAUAUUGGUCAAUGGACGCAAGUCUGAACCAGCCAUGCCGCGUGCAGGAAGACUGCUCUAUGAGUUGUAAACUGCUUUUGUACGAGGGUAAACGCAGAUACGCGUAUCUGUCUGAAAGUAUCGUACGAAUAAGGAUCGGCUAACUCCGUGCCAGCAGCCGCGGUAAUACGGAGGAUUCAAGCGUUAUCCGGAUUUAUUGGGUUUAAAGGGUGCGUAGGCGGUCGGAUAAGUUAGAUGUGAAAUCCCGAGGCUCAACUGCGGAAUUGCCUCUGAUACUGGUAGGCUAGAGAGUAGUUGAGGUAGGCGGAAUGUAUGGUGUAGCGGUGAAAUGCUUAGAGAUCAUACAGAACACCGAUUGCGAAGGCAGCUUACCAAGCUACUUCUGACGUUGAGGCACGAAAGCGUGGGGAGCAAACAGGAUUAGAUACCCCAGUAGUC
Molecule: ribosomal RNA, 460 nt
Filed under: uncultured bacterium
Lineage: Bacteria
Description: partial 16S ribosomal RNA
Rfam family: Bacterial small subunit ribosomal RNA
Source: RNAcentral